RNAcentral lists this ribosomal RNA (284 nucleotides) under uncultured bacterium. Its description in RNAcentral is "partial 16S ribosomal RNA". It matches the Rfam family "Bacterial small subunit ribosomal RNA", at positions 773 to 1060 of the family's 1533-position model. The record is from RNAcentral.
GUGGAUUAGAUACCCUGGUAGUCCUAGCCGUAAACGAUGGGCACUAGGUGUGGGGGGUAUGACUCCCUCCGUGCCGCAGCUAACGCAUUAAGUGCCCCGCCUGGGGAGUACGGCCGCAAGGCUAAAACUCAAAGGAAUUGACGGGGGCCCGCACAAGCAGCGGAGCAUGUGGCUUAAUUCGAAGCAACGCGAAGAACCUUACCAGGGCUUGACAUUCAGGUGAAGCGGCGGAAACGCCGUGGCCGAAAGGAGCCUGAACAGGUGGUGCACGGCCGUCGCCAGCU